RNAcentral lists this ribosomal RNA (279 nucleotides) under uncultured archaeon. Its description in RNAcentral is "partial 16S rRNA". It matches the Rfam family "Archaeal small subunit ribosomal RNA", at positions 1047 to 1325 of the family's 1478-position model. The record is from RNAcentral.
GAGACCCAUAUCCUUAUUUGCCACUUCCUUUCUUCGGAUAGGAAAGCACAAUAAGGAGACUGCCACCGAAAGGUGGAGGAGGGUGUGGGCAACGGUAGGUCAGUACGUCCUGAAUCCCCUGGGCUACACGCGCAAUGCAAUGGCAGGCACAAUGGGAAGCGACACCGAAAGGUGAAGCAAAUCUCAAAAAACCUGUCUUAGUUUGAACUGAGGGCUGUAACUUGCCCUCAUGAAACCGAAAUCCCUAGUAAUCGCGUUUCAACAAGGCGCGAUGAAUAC